CAAGAUGCAAUGUCGCAUAUCGUAAGGGGUUCCUACAUAGAAAUUAAAUAAAAAAACUAAAGCAAAAAUAAAUAACAAAGUCUAAAUAAAAAUAAGAACAUCCAAAAAUUAAAAUUUACAAGUCCUAAAAAUUAAAAUAAAAUUAAAAGUUCAGAAGUUUUUAACCAGAAUCGGCAUCCAACUAACUCUCCUCAAUCAUUGGGUCCUUCCCUCAACCCGUGUCUAGUAUGGCAG
RNAcentral lists this long non-coding RNA (234 nucleotides) under Gossypium raimondii (Peruvian cotton). RNAcentral describes it as "long non-coding RNA (GRAI_LNC004450)". The record is from RNAcentral. Lineage: Eukaryota; Viridiplantae; Streptophyta; Magnoliopsida; Malvales; Malvaceae.